This 69-nucleotide transfer RNA is filed under the name Caprimulgus indicus (Indian jungle nightjar). RNAcentral's name for it is "tRNA-Cys". Lineage: Eukaryota; Metazoa; Chordata; Aves; Caprimulgiformes; Caprimulgidae. The record is from RNAcentral.
GGCCCUGUGGUGAAGUAUUCAUGUUGAGUUGCAAGCUCAUUGACGUGCACUGAUAGUGUACCAGGGUCU